AUGACUGUUUCUGGAACUGUUUGUCUCAGUUCCUGUUUUUCUAUUUUAUCAAGGCCACUUUUAUGGCGGCUCACGGCCGCUCCCUUCACCUGGGUCGAGCCAGGAGUUGGAACUCCGUGCAGAUCUCCCACAGGAGUGGCAGAAACCACCCCCCCACCCCGCCUCCUGGACUCUUCACUGGUGGGAAGCUGCAGGCAGACGCUGAGACUCAACCCCACGACACGCUGGGGGAUCCUUGCAUCCCUGGAGGAAGAGGAUUCAGACAAGAGACAGAGCUCCUUUUCUUUUGGUUCUAUAGGAAAUGCCUCAAGAUUUUAUCAAAGAGACCUGGCCCAGCAGCCUGGCAUUUUCUUCAGUGAAACCCAUCCUGGAAUCUCUGAGAGGCGGCUGAGGAAGAGAGGGAAGGGAAAUAAAAUUGGCCUGCUCAUCACAUUUCCUGGAGUUUGGAGGAUGCUCAGCCGCAGCAGGAGAGAAAGGUGCCAACAGUAACAUAAGACACUGAGAACAGAGCCCCACGUGGCUUCGCAGCUCCCUCUGCACAACGUGACCAGAGGAUAUCAAGUGAAUCCAACGUGGUGUUGGAAGAGAAGAAAUACUGCCAUGCCAACCAUCUUUCAAAACUUCAUGAGAAAAGUGAGGUUGAUCAAAGAGACCUUGUGGGUGUCUAAUGGUGCAGUGCAGAGCAUUCCACACGGUGCUGCCUGGUGCUCCCUGAUGCAGUUUGGAAAGAGAUAUUGACAGUGCAUGGCAUGACGGCAUCAUUAGAGGGCACUGCCACCCAGGCCCCCAGGCUAUGACAAACGCUGGCCUCAGCUCAGAGAAGCUGCCCUGCCAGAAGGCUCUCACGGCUGCUGACAAUAUGACAAAGCUCUGGAGUUAAGACAUCCUCUCCUCUCCCUCAGCCCUCCCAGGCCCUGGAGCACUCUGAUUUGGGGCAUCACUAACCCAGCAGUAAGCAGAACACGUUGCUCAUUGGAUUAAAAGGGGGAGAAAAAGGCAACCGUCUAUUUUAUUUGCAAAACUAAAUCUAGGAAAUCACCUAGCACAAUUCCUGGCUUGGGCUGAAUUCUCCAUACACUUUUUUAUUUAUUUAUUUAUUUAUUUAUUUAUUUUUAAUUUUUUGCCAGGCAGAGUUAGACAGUGAGAGAGAGAGAGACAGAGAGUUAUAGACAGCGAGAGAGAGACAGAGAGAAAGGUCUUCCUUCCAUUGGUUCACUCCCCUAAUGGCCGCUACGGCCAGCGCUGUGCCGAUCCGAAGCCAGGAGCUGGGUACUUCCUCCCAGUCUCCCAUGCAGGUGCAGGGACCCAAGCACUUGGGCCAUCCUCCGCUGCCCUCCUGGGCCACAGCAGAGAGCUGGACUGGAAGAGGUGCAACCGAGACUAGUACCCGCUGCCCCAACUGGGCCUAGAUCCUGGGGUGCUGGCGCUGCAGGCGGAGGAUUAGCCAAGUGAGCCACGGCACUGGCCUCCAUACACUUUCACUCUUGUU
Molecule: long non-coding RNA, 1489 nt
Filed under: Oryctolagus cuniculus (rabbit)
Lineage: Eukaryota; Metazoa; Chordata; Mammalia; Lagomorpha; Leporidae
Description: lncRNA (ENSOCUG00000037442.1)
Source: RNAcentral